GAUGAACGCUGGCGGCGUGCCUAAUACAUGCAAGUCGAGCGAACAGACGAGGAGCUUGCUCCUCUGACGUUAGCGGCGGACGGGUGAGUAACACGUGGAUAACCUACCUAUAAGACUGGGAUAACUUCGGGAAACCGGAGCUAAUACCGGAUAAUAUAUUGAACCGCAUGGUUCAAUAGUGAAAGACGGUUUUGCUGUCACUUAUAGAUGGAUCCACGCCGCAUUAGCUAGUUGGUAAGGUAACGGCUUACCAAGGCAACGAUGCGUAGCCGACCUGAGAGGGUGAUCGGCCACACUGGAACUGAGACACGGUCCAGACUCCUACGGGAGGCAGCAGUAGGGAAUCUUCCGCAAUGGGCGAAAGCCUGACGGAGCAACGCCGCGUGAGUGAUGAAGGUCUUCGGAUCGUAAAACUCUGUUAUUAGGGAAGAACAAAUGUGUAAGUAACUAUGCACGUCUUGACGGUACCUAAUCAGAAGGCCACGGCUAACUACGUGCCAGCCGCCGCUGUAA
RNAcentral lists this ribosomal RNA (513 nucleotides) under uncultured bacterium. Its description in RNAcentral is "partial 16S ribosomal RNA". It matches the Rfam family "Bacterial small subunit ribosomal RNA", at positions 28 to 523 of the family's 1533-position model. The record is from RNAcentral.